CAAUAGCGUAUAUUAAAGUUGUUGCAGUUAAAAAGCUCGUAGUUGGAUUUCGGGGCAGCCUGGCUGGUCCGCCGCAAGGCGAGUACUGGUCAGCCGCCCUUCCUCUCGAAAGCCCCGACUGCUCUUCGUUGCAGUGGUCGGGUAGUUCGGGACGUUUACUUUGAAAAAAUUAGAGUGUUCAAGGCAGGCCUACGCCUGAAUACAUUAGCAUGGAAUAAUGGAAGAGGACCUCGGUCCUAUUUUGUUGGUUUCCAGGGCCGAAGUAAUGAUUAAGAGGGACAGUUGGGGGCAUUCGUAUUUAAUUGUCAGAGGUGAAAUUCUCGGAUUUAUGAAAGACGAACAACUGCGAAAGCAUCUGCCAAGGAUGUUUUCAUUAA
RNAcentral lists this ribosomal RNA (377 nucleotides) under uncultured eukaryote. RNAcentral describes it as "partial 18S ribosomal RNA". It matches the Rfam family "Eukaryotic small subunit ribosomal RNA", at positions 592 to 976 of the family's 1831-position model. The record is from RNAcentral.